Molecule: long non-coding RNA, 4501 nt
Organism: Chroicocephalus ridibundus (black-headed gull)
Lineage: Eukaryota; Metazoa; Chordata; Aves; Charadriiformes; Laridae
Exons: 6
Source: RefSeq, a predicted model, not a curated record
CUCCCUCCUGUCCUGCUUCCCCUACAAAUCCCCGAGGAGGCACAGGGCAUGGGGAAUUUCUGAGAUUCACGCUCCUGUGGUACCAUGCCGUCAGCACGCAGCCAGGACAUCGGGCACACGCUGACGACCCUUCACCAGCACAGAAAUAGAUUUGGCAGAGCGCAUCAGGAAUGAACUAAUCAGCAGGGAAUUAACUGGCAUGUUUGUGAAAAGGCAGGAACAACGCGGUGAACAAAUUCAUGGCUGGAUGGCCGGAGGGUUCAAGCAGCCAGAGAGCAGCGCUGCAUCGUGGAAACUGUGACUAGUAAGAGAAGUCGUACAGCUGUGCCGGAGAGCCAGCGGUUGAGAGCUGCCCAAAAGAACCGGGGGCAAACAUAUACUGGUGUCCUUGCGGAUGGAGCUGCUUUCAAGAGGGGCUCCAUCGCCCAGGCUUUCCUUCCCAUAAGGCCCCCAUGUGUGGGGGGAGAUGGCUAGCUUGCAGGAGUGGGAGGGAGGGGUAGGAGAGGUACAGCUGGAGGAGGCUCCAGGGAAAGACUGUGAAAACGUGGAGAGCAGGGAAAUGAAGAGGGACACGUCACUCAUCGCAAGCUGAAAUGCAGAGGGGGUGGUGAGGAGAAGAGGAGCAGAGAGGCAGAGAUUUGGAAGCCUCGUCACAGAAGGACUGGCCUCAAGAGCACAGUAUUUUCCAGCGCAACACUGCAACAGAUCUGAAGACGUAUUUGCAACAGGCUUGGGAUCUGGUUCCUAUUACAGAUGACCCUGCAGACUUUUUCUGCUAGAAACCUGAUUAGCGAAUAUCCAUUUGCCUCCUACAAUUCCACCUAGGAGAAGCAAGAUUGCUCAAUUUCUGUAGCAGGGAAAAGUCAAGGUCCUACGAACAGCCACCAUGGUGACUCUUCCUCUUUUCCUCUUCUUCGUCCUCUUGCCCUGCAGUAAAUCCCAGGAGGACUUUCUGGACCAGCAUCAGAAAUGGAACUACAGAGAAGGCGCUGACAAGGUCAACAUAGAAGGCAUUAAUAGCAUUACUCAAACCCUUGAGAAAUGGGGAAAUAGCAUCUUCUGGCAAAUGAAACACACCCUGCUGAACAACCCGAAUGCUUUACUGCCCGAGUUCUCCAGUCUCCGCCCUGUCUCUGCGGCUGUGGACAAUCUCGUGAGGGAAGUCCAGUCGAUCAGGAAAAGGCUAGAAGAACUAAACGAACGCCUCAAUGUCAUCAGCAAAACCAUGCUUCCCAUCCGACUGAAUGCUCUGCAGAGCCAGAGGCGUGGAAAUACUCAGCUGCGGAGACUUCCGAUGCAUAGGAGAAGGUUGUAUGCUCGCAGGAGACCUCAGAGGAGUUAAUUCUCUACUGGGUAAAAAAAGAGAACUCUAUUUUUUUCAUCUGCUUAAGCCUUUCUCCAUGGGACGCUGCUAGAGAGAAUAAAGUAAAGCACAUACAAGUCAGCUUUACUAAGGAGACCAGAACUUCUGCAUUUUGUUGCUGCCUUUCAAACCAAAUCUGACUCUGUUCUUCACUGAUGGCUGUUUUGUGUCCCAAGCAGAAUGAGUUGACAAGCUCAGUCUACUGGAGUGCGAAUACCUUCAGGCUAUACAGUCAUUCUUUAUGCUUACCAGAGGAAGCUCUUUCUAUAAAGAUCAGGUGCAUUUCUCUCUCUGCCCUAUUUUUACAGCAUUCCAUCUGAAACAGCUGGGGAAUUUGAUAUUCCAAAGUGCUAAACGCCUGAUGAAUGCAGAGAGAUAGAUUAGUGCUUGGCACUUCCAGCUGGGCAGGCAGGGGUAGAGGAAUCUAUGUUUUAAAAUACAGCCUUAACCUAUUCUCCAUCAGUGCAAAGAAUGCCGCGUUCACAUGGUCAGAGAGAGGGUAGGGUUGGAUAACCUUGGUCUGUGCAUCAAGACUGAAGAUAUCUCAGAUUCUAGGGACCAAAUUUCACCAUCUAUCUUCUGCAAAUAACUUUUUUUUAGCUACCUGGAACUGGGGACUGAAAACCUUGUUAUUCAGCAGAUAUUUUCAGAAUUUCCAGCACUCUGAAAGACGUCGCAUUGACUUCUGCCAAGACCCUUAGAAAUCAGGAGACAUUUUUUCAAAACCGUUUAGAUACCUAAUGGCACAGGUAGGUGUCUAGAAGGAUUUUCCAAAAUAGCUUAAGAGACAGUUCAGUCCCCAAAAUCACCGAUAAUAAUUCAGUUGGUGUCCAAUUCACAGAGUAUCUUCUCCACAUGCAAGCACUGACCUCCAGACAUUUUCCAACAUCCUUUAGCGCAAUUAAGAUCUGUAAAAAAAGAAUAACUACACAACUCAAGGACUUUGGUGCCUCAGGGAGUACCCAGAAUACCCUGCCUUCAGCUUGUCUUUGCCUGUGGCUUCCUGAUGGUAGAACUGGCGAUAAAAGAAUAGUGCAGAAAUCAAAUUAUGCAAUAAUAGAUGGAGUGGUCUUGCCCUGCAGGUCUCCAAAGGUAAAUCCAAUACAGAGAUUCCCAUCCAGUGUUGCAGCCAACUGCCUACCUGAAAUAUGUUGAAACAAAGGUAAAAGAGUCAGAGAGGAAAAUGAAGUAUUUUUUUAAAGGUCUGGAUGAAGCAAUUUAUGAGAACAAAAAUAAAGAAUGGAUUAUGUCUCAAUGGUUGUGGGGGAGGCUGGCAUGACUGUUGUUUGGCAAACACUCUUCAAUCAUAAACAGUGAGGAUGCAGACUAGCUAUUUAAGGAUUCCCAAGGCCUGAGUUUAUGGAAAGGAGUUCAGUGACACUACAAUAACCUCCAGAGGGAAAAGGGAAAAACUAGUUUCAUAUGAAAUCUUGCAGAAUGAGCCAGAAGAAGUAACAGUCAGCAUUUUGGCUGUGACCUGGGAGUUGAGUGAGAGAAGUAAGAGGACUGUAUGAGACAAUGUGAUAAAUACUUUCCGGAUGUGAAUUCUCUGAGUUCAGGUUUUCAGAAAAUAACAAAACUCUAGCUUGGAAGGUCUUUCUUUGGCUUUUGCUUGGGAAUUUGAAACACUGCUUCACUAGACAAGGGAAAAAUCAAGCCUCUGAAAAAGCUGAUAAAAAGAUACAUUUGUGCCUUUGGUGAAGUUGGCAUCAUAAUUUCUCAGGAAAUGUAGAGUAUUUUGAUCCCAGAAUAUAUUUACCUAAAUUACAAGGAAUGACAGGAGAGAAAGGCCCCGUCAACCUCCUCCUCGUUAUUUUGCAUUCAGAGCUACUAGGCUGUGCUGUAGCAUCAGCUGCAUGCUUGCACAGACUGCUGGUCCCUCCAGGGGAUGCUUUACGCGCUUGCUUAGGGACUGCUGGUCACUUUGGCCUACCUCGAGGAAGAAUGCAACAUAAAUGUCAGCUUUUGUGUUCAUAUUUUAGAUAUGAGAAUUUUAUCAGGCAACCUGAAGUUGUAUGAAAUCAAUUGAAGACUACUUGAAACAGAAAGAUGAGACUUCCCUCAGUCACAGAUGGCUGGAGGUGGGAAGCUAGACCAGAUCACUGCAUGCUUUUAUUUUUUCCCUAGAUGUCCACCACCAGCUUUUGCCCGAGACAGAGCAGUGGGCAAGAUGGACCUCUGGUCUGACCCAGUCCAUCUAUUCCUACACUGAUAUGCGCAAGCUGGUAUUUUUGGCAAAACUCCUCAGCUCAAUGGAGAAACUCACCGUUUGUUUCAAAAGAGAACAAAUAAGCUGCAGCAUGCAAUGUAUAUUACAAUUUUGCAAUUUCUUGCAUAAUGGUGAAUAAACCAAAUAAUAUAAAUGGUUAAUAAAUUACUAGAUCUUUGACCUUGUCACCACUGAUAACAGCCCCUGUCAUUCACUCCGUGAAAGUCCAUGUCAGGCUCCAGCCCUGCUCCUUGGCCUGAGCACGGCCCGUUUGAUCAUGGGAUCAUGGCCAGCUCCUUAAACUUCCUUACCUUUGCACAACCCUCUCUCUCUCUUUAGAUGGAAAUGCUUUAAUGUCACAUUUCUUUUAUCAUUUUCUUUUUUGCUCCUUAAGAGGGUAGGAAAGUUAUGCAUUAGCCUGCUUCUGCCUCACUCACCUUCUAUUUGAGGAGGCGGGAGACCAGCUGAGGGAGACAUCUCAAGGUGCCUCUGUCUCCUCUGCCUGGGGAGGCUGCUCUGACCCCUGCCUGCCACAGGGACUGGUAUUUGAUUCCUGCCUCUGCUGCCGUCUUCUUAAACGAUCCUGGACAAGGCACUUUCUCUAGCUGGCACCCACUUGUGAUCAUGAAGGAUCCAAGUCCUCCAUGCACAUAAAUAGACCCAGCUAUAUAAAGCUGUCUGAGCCCCUUGUUGUGUUUAUUUACAUAUAUUUACGGGAAGGGACCUGGCUGGAGUUUUAAACGGAGUGGACGGGCUGGGCUGUGAACCCACGCAAGAGGUCAGCGGAGGGAGAGCAAAUACCAUCUGGCGGCGUCUAAGAUCCACCCCUUACCUAAAGGCCACGACACCCCCGGAGCCAUGGAGCACUGCCUGAAAUUCAGUGCCUUAAAAGAAUGCAACUGCGAUCCCCCUCUUAGCUCUGUUAAUUA